UCUUCAUGUAUGUUCUUAUGAGGCUCUUGAAUGAUAUUCUGUAUUUUGUUCUUUAUUUUGCAUAAUUUUCUGACAGAGGGCCUAAGGUCUACACUAAACAGAAAACUGGGCAGCAUUUUUUUUUUUUUUUUUUUUUGAGUUACCAUAUUUUCAGCUAAUCAGAGUACUUUCUCUCUACUUCCUCUCUCUUAGGACUCACCUGUCAGAGAACAAUUGUGAAGACAUUAAUUUGAGCAUAUCACAUCCUGAGCAUUAAGAAGACUAUAUCUGCUAAUACACCCAUCCUUGUUGACUAUUUACGGUUUUACCCAACUCCUGCUUUGGCUUUAUACUGAUAGUCAGCAUGGAGGGGUCCACCCCAAGGCCGUUAGUUCAUCCUCUGCAUUAUGGUACCCUUCCUGCAUCAAGAUGCCUACUAUUGCUAGCGACACGUCUCAGCACAUCAUAGGUACUCUUUGUUUUUUGUUUGUUUUUAAUAAAAUUAGGUUCUCCUUUAAAAAAGCAUUGAGUAAAUAAUUUCCUUGGGAAAAUGAAGCUUCUACAUCAAAAUAUAAUCUUCAAAAAACCACAUGGU
This 574-nucleotide long non-coding RNA is filed under the name Bos indicus x Bos taurus (hybrid cattle). RNAcentral's name for it is "lncRNA (ENSBIXG00005030742.1)". Lineage: Eukaryota; Metazoa; Chordata; Mammalia; Artiodactyla; Bovidae. The record is from RNAcentral.